Molecule: long non-coding RNA, 600 nt
Organism: Mesocricetus auratus (golden hamster)
Lineage: Eukaryota; Metazoa; Chordata; Mammalia; Rodentia; Cricetidae
Exons: 2
Source: RefSeq, a predicted model, not a curated record
CUUCCCUACAUGGUGUCCUUCUCCAGUGUGUCCCCCUCUGUCCUGCUGUUUAGAGGGGACAUUCACUCGUGGAGUGCUCCCCCUCCUGUAUCUCAGUUUACUAAACUCUGUCUUAUACUUCUGGUCCACUUUGAAUAACUCUGUCUAAUGCAGAGACCUAGGGUUCAGACAAAAAGGCAAUGGGGCAUCUCUAAGCCUCAGACCACUGGGCGUCACUGCACUGUUUCUUUCCCAGGUGUCGUAGGACUCUCUACGUCAGCCAACAUCAUCCUGGGCUCUGUGGGGGCAGCUAUUGGGGCAUCCGUUGAGGAAGCAAUUGACAGUUGGACCGAUCAGGAAAACCAGGAGGAGACAGUAGACACAAAGAUGAUCGUCCAAAUCACUCAAUGAGGUUCUGCUAAGGGAGGUUCCUGACCUGGAGCUGAGGUGAGAGGGCCAAGAACACGGACCCCAGAGCUCUUGGUCCAUCUUCAUCUAUGAUUCUGGAUGUGCAGAGCUAAGACCAGCAAAAAGAUACCCCACUGUACCAGGGAUGCCCUGACCUAAGCUACUGCCCUGACGCCUCUGGAAGGAGAUAGAAUAAAAAUGGUCACCACUGUG